GCCAGGUGCAGUGGUGCUUGCCUGUAAUCCCAGAGGCUUGGGAGGCUGAGGCAGGAGGAUCGUGAGUUCAAAGUCAGCCUCAGCAAAAGUGAGGUGCUAAGCAACUCAGUGAGACCCGGCCUCUA
RNAcentral lists this small RNA (125 nucleotides) under Marmota monax (woodchuck). Lineage: Eukaryota; Metazoa; Chordata; Mammalia; Rodentia; Sciuridae. The record is from RNAcentral.